RNAcentral lists this ribosomal RNA (502 nucleotides) under uncultured bacterium. Its description in RNAcentral is "partial 16S ribosomal RNA". It matches the Rfam family "Bacterial small subunit ribosomal RNA", at positions 30 to 523 of the family's 1533-position model. The record is from RNAcentral.
AUUGAACGCUGGCGGCAUGUCUUACACAUGCAAGUCGAACGGCAGCAUAGGAGCUUGCUCCUGAUGGCGAGUGGCGAACGGGUGAGUAAUAUAUCGGAACGUGCCCUAGAGUGGGGGAUAACUAGUCGAAAGACUAGCUAAUACCGCAUACGAUCUACGGAUGAAAGUGGGGGAUCGCAAGACCUCAUGCUCCUGGAGCGGCCGAUAUCUGAUUAGCUAGUUGGUGGGGUAAAAGCUCACCAAGGCGACGAUCAGUAGCUGGGCUGAGAGGACAACCAGCCACACUGGGACUGAGACACGGCCCAGACUCCGACGGGAGGCAGCAGUGGGGAAUUUUGGACAAUGGGGGCAACCCUGAUCCAGCAAUGCCGCGUAAGUGAAGAAGGCCUUAGGGUUGUAAAGCUCUUUUGUCAGGGAAGAAACGGUUCUGGAUAAUACCUGGAGCUAAUGACGGUACCUGAAGAAUAAGCACCGGCUAACUACGUGCCAGCCGCCGCCGUAA